UACGGAGGAUCCAAGCGUUAUCCGGAUUUAUUGGGUUUAAAGGGUGCGUAGGCGGCCUAUUAAGUCAGGGGUGAAAGACGGUAGCUUAACUAUCGCAGUGCCUUUGAUACUGAUGGGCUUGAAUGAACUAGAGGUAGGCGGAAUGUGACAAGUAGCGGUGAAAUGCAUAGAUAUGUCACAGAACACCAAUUGCGAAGGCAGCUUACUAUGGUUUUAUUGACGCUGAGGCACGAAAGCGUGGGGAUCAAGCAGG
This 253-nucleotide ribosomal RNA is filed under the name uncultured bacterium. RNAcentral's name for it is "partial 16S ribosomal RNA". It matches the Rfam family "Bacterial small subunit ribosomal RNA", at positions 524 to 776 of the family's 1533-position model. The record is from RNAcentral.